This 428-nucleotide ribosomal RNA is filed under the name uncultured bacterium. Its description in RNAcentral is "bacterial SSU rRNA". It matches the Rfam family "Bacterial small subunit ribosomal RNA", at positions 354 to 796 of the family's 1533-position model. The record is from RNAcentral.
GUAGGGAAUAUUGCACAAUGGGGGAAACCCUGAUGCAGCGACGCCGCGUGAGUGAUGAAGGCCUUCGGGUCGUAAAGCUCUGUCGUAUGGGACUAACAAAAUGAAGGUACCAUGCAAGAAAGGAUCGGCUAACUUCGUGCCAGCAGCCGCGGUAAGACGAGGGAUCCUAGCGUUGUUCGGAAUUAUUGGGCGUAAAGCGGGUGUAGGCGGGCCUGUCAGUCAGGUGUGAAAUCCCAGGGCUUAACCCUGGAAGUGCACUUGAUACUGCAGGUCUUGAGUGUGGUAGAGGCUAUUAGAAUUCUUGGUGUAGUGGUGAAAUACGUAGAUAUCAAGAGGAAUACCGGAGGCGAAGGCGGAUAGCUGGGCCAACACUGACGCUGAGACCCGAAAGCGUGGGGAUCAAACAGGAUUAGAUACCCCGGUAGUCC